Lampris incognitus (smalleye Pacific opah) is the source of this 547-nucleotide long non-coding RNA. RefSeq lists it as uncharacterized. NCBI's taxonomy places the organism in Eukaryota, Metazoa, Chordata, Actinopteri, Lampriformes, Lampridae. The record is from RefSeq and is a predicted model, not a curated record. The transcript is spliced from 3 exons.
UAAAGAUGGAAAAACAGAGAGGAGUUGAAGAGAGCGAGAUAGAAGCGGAGGACGAGAACGGGUUGUUGACCUGCCAGAAAAGCAGAGACAUCCAUCAAUACCAGAGCCAGGCAGGUCACUAUGCAGUGUUGGUGCAGGACUUGUUCCAGUUCUAGCCAGCUCAUUUCUUUUCAUCUGCCACUGAAAACUCAAGCGCUCCGCAGGCCUGAACAGCCAGGUAUCUUGACACUAAUGGGUUUGCUCAAAUUACAUGGCACACUCGGACAGAAUCUUCUCUCUCUCUCUGCUCAGCCGUCCUCGGCCAAUGCCCCUCGUCCUGACUGUAAAAUGCAGGACAAUGGAACACACGACGAGUAGGAACCAGAAUUAUCAGCUGUUCUCAUCUCUGAAUGCUACCAUGUGGAAAGGUUUUUGUUUUUUUCUCUCAAGACAAAAACAUUCAGCACACUCACAUUCACGAUGCGUAACACGCCAUCACCUUUAAGCAAUGUUUAAAUUUGUUGGUCAAGAUGUGUGUAGUCCAAAUAAAGAUUUAUCUUGGUGGAAA